GCGGGUGUAGCUCAAUGGUAGAGCCCCAGCCUUCCAAGCUGGUUAUGCGGGUUCGAUUCCCGUCGCCCGCUCCA
RNAcentral lists this transfer RNA (74 nucleotides) under Rhodospirillaceae bacterium. Its description in RNAcentral is "tRNA-Gly". It matches the Rfam family "tRNA". Rfam says of the family: Transfer RNA (tRNA) molecules are approximately 80 nucleotides in length. Their secondary structure includes four short double-helical elements and three loops (D, anti-codon, and T loops). RNAcentral also lists the same sequence under 1 other name. The record is from RNAcentral. Lineage: Bacteria; Pseudomonadati; Pseudomonadota; Alphaproteobacteria; Rhodospirillales; Rhodospirillaceae.